Molecule: long non-coding RNA, 973 nt
Organism: Monodelphis domestica (gray short-tailed opossum)
Lineage: Eukaryota; Metazoa; Chordata; Mammalia; Didelphimorphia; Didelphidae
Source: RefSeq, a predicted model, not a curated record
AUUCCAGCUCUCCGUCUGCCCCGCCUCCUCUUCUCUCCCGCCCACCAUGCUUAGGCCUCUGGCAGCCCGGCUCGGACAAUGAGGUUCCUGUGUCCGAGAAUGACGAGGGUCUUCUGGCUUCCAGCUUCAAGAGAGAAGAUGGAUGAUGCCAACCCCACUUUCCACUGCUAAAGGAAAAGAUUUUGGGAAGAAGUCAACUUGAGAGGAGCUGGCAGCAUCCAUCAUAUCCUUAUUCCUAAUUUGGUACAACUAAAUCUUUGGGAGAAUUUCCCUUUGGGGUAAAGUCUGAUUGCUGUCCUCCUGGUCUGAGCUCUGCAAGUUCCUGACGAGUCAAGGAAUUGCAACUCAUGAAGACCCAAGAUUAUCUACCAAAACAUGAAAGGGUUGCAAUCUGCUUUGGUAAAGAGAAUACCUUCAUUAAUGAAAGGCCCCUGAAGGAUUGAUAUCUCAUUUUUUUUCUUGAUUGUACCUUCAUAGGUGUUUUAAGGGACCCAGCAAGGAGUGAAUCAAGAUUGAGACAAAUGCUUCCAAGGUGACCCAGGGGAGAGAUGGAUGGAAAUCAUUUGUGAAUGAGAAUCUAAAAGAGUAAUACCUGAUUCAAUUCCCUAUUAUUAUCUGUUAUUUGACCCCACACAAUAAGUUUGCUUUGAAUUUGUAGUCAUUGGGUUUGGUUAGGAAAACAUUGGCACUGGCUUUGGAGCCAGUUAAAUAUAUGGGGUAAAAUAUGUGAUUUCCCUAACAGUACUAGGGACUGAGUAUAUAGCUGUGAGGGAACCAAAAUGAGAGGAGCCACAAAGGCUAUACUGGGAACAGGUAAAAACUGAGGAAACGAUACAGAAGCAACAAAGUGAACUGAACAUGCCUAUAAAAAAGAAGUUACGAGUUCUGGGAAAAUAUAUACUGAAAACGAAGAAGAUGACUCUCAAGACUUGCUGUAUUAUUCUUCCUAUAAAUCAUAUUAUCUUAAACAGAA